Molecule: ribosomal RNA, 1095 nt
Filed under: Lasiodiplodia theobromae
Lineage: Eukaryota; Fungi; Ascomycota; Dothideomycetes; Botryosphaeriales; Botryosphaeriaceae
Description: SSU rRNA
Rfam family: Eukaryotic small subunit ribosomal RNA
Source: RNAcentral
CAUGUCUAAAUAUAAGCAAUCUAUACUGUGAAACUGCGAAGGGCUCAUUAAAUCAGUUAUCGUUUAUUUGAUAGUACCUUACUACUUGGAUAACCGUGGUAAUUCUAGAGCUAAUACAUGCUAAAAACCCCGACUUCGGAAGGGGUGUAUUUAUUAAAUAAAAAACCAAUGCCCUUCGGGGCUCCUUGGUGAAUCAUGAUAACUUAACGAAUCGCAAGGCCUUGCGCCGGCAAUGGUUCAUUCAAAUUUCUGCCCUAUCAACUUUCGAUUGUAGGAUAGUGGCCUACAAUGGUUUCAACGGGUAACGGGGAAUUAGGGUUCUAUUCCGGAGAGGGAGCCUGAGAAACGGCUACCACAUCCAAGGAAGGCAGCAGGCGCGCAAAUUACCCAAUCCCGAUACGGGGAGGUAGUGACAAUAAAUACUGAUACAGGGCUCUUUUGGGUCUUGUAAUUGGAAUGAGUACAAUUUAAAUACCUUAAUGAGGAACAAUUGGAGGGCAAGUCUGGUGCCAGCAGCCGCGGUAAUUCCAGCUCCAAUAGCGUAUAUAAAAGUUGUUGCAGUUAAAAAGCUCGUAGUUGAACCUUGGGCCUGGCUGGCCGGUCUGCCUCACCGCAUGUACUGGUUCGGCCGGGUCUUUCCUCCUGGGGAUCCGCAUGCCCUUCACUGGGUGUGUUGGGGAACCAGGACUUUUACUUUGAAAAAAUUAGAGUGUUCAAAGCAGGCCUUUGCUCGAAUACAUUAGCAUGGAAUAAUAGAAUAGGACGUGCGGUCCUAUUUUGUUGGUUUCUAGGACCGCCGUAAUGAUUAAUAGGGAUAGUCGGGCGCAUCAGUAUUCAGUUGUCAGAGGUGAAAUUCUUGGAUUUACUGAAGACUAACUACUGCGAGAGCAUGUGCCAAGGAUGUUCUCAUUAAUCAGUGAACGAAAGUUAGGAGAUCGAAGACGAUCAGAUACCGUCGUAGUCUUAACCGUAAACUAUGCCGACUAGGGAUCGGGCGAUGUUAUUCUUGUGACUCGCUCGGCACUUACGAGAAAUCAAAGUCUUGGGUUUGGGGGGGAAAUAUGGUCGCAGGCUGAAACUUAAAGAAUUGACGGA